UGUUAAUGGGAAUAUUAGGAAGUGAUGGA
This 29-nucleotide non-coding RNA is filed under the name Macaca fascicularis (crab-eating macaque). The record is from RNAcentral. Lineage: Eukaryota; Metazoa; Chordata; Mammalia; Primates; Cercopithecidae. RNAcentral also lists the same sequence under 1 other name.